CGAGAACGGACUUAAGCUUGCUUAAGUUGUCAGCUAAGUGGCGCACGGGUGAGUAAUGUAUAGUUAACCUGCCCUCUAGAAAGGAAUAACAGUUGGAAACGACUGCUAAUGCCCUAUAUGCCCAUAAUACAAAAGUAUGCUGGGGAAACGCUUUAGUGCUAGAGGAUGGGACUGUAUUGUAUCAGUUAGUUGGUGAGGUAAUGGCUCACCAAGACAAUGACGCAUAACUGGUUUGAGAGGAUGAUCAGUCACACUGGAACUGAGACACGGUCCAGACUCCUACGGGAGGCAGCAGUGGGGAAUAUUGCACAAUGGAGGAAACUCUGAUGCAGCAACGCCGCGUGGAGGAUGACACUUUUCGGAGCGUAAACUCCUUUUAUAUAGGAAGAUAAUGACGGUACUAUAUGAAUAAGCACCGGCUAACUCCGUGCCAGCAGCCGCGGUAAUACGGAGGGUGCAAGCGUUACUCGGAAUCACUGGGCGUAAAGAGCGUGUAGGCGGAUAGAUAAGUCAGAAGUGAAAUCCUAUGGCUCAACCAUAGAACUGCUUUUGAAACUGUCUAUCUAGAAUAUGGGAGAGGUAGAUGGAAUUUCUGGUGUAGGGGUAAAAUCCGUAGAGAUCAGAAGGAAUACCGAUUGCGAAG
Molecule: ribosomal RNA, 643 nt
Filed under: Halarcobacter ebronensis
Lineage: Bacteria; Pseudomonadati; Campylobacterota; Epsilonproteobacteria; Campylobacterales; Arcobacteraceae
Description: bacterial SSU rRNA
Rfam family: Bacterial small subunit ribosomal RNA
Source: RNAcentral